AACGCGAAGAACCUUACCUACUCUUGACAUCCAGAGAACUUAGCAGAGAUGCUUUGGUGCCUUCGGGAACUCUGAGACAGGUGCUGCAUGGCUGUCGUCAGCUCGUGUUGUGAAAUGUUGGGUUAAGUCCCGCAACGAGCGCAACCCUUAUCCUUUGUUGCCAGCGGUUAGGCCGGGAACUCAAAGGAGACUGCCAGUGAUAAACUGGAGGAAGGUGGGGAUGACGUCAAGUCAUCAUGGCCCUUACGAGUAGGGCUACACACGUGCUACAAUGGCAUAUACAAAGAGAAGCGACCUCGCGAGAGCAAGCGGACCUCAUAAAGUAUGUCGUAGUCCGGAUUGGAGUCUGCAACUCGACUCCAUGAAGUCGGAAUCGCUAGUAAUCGUAGAUCAGAAUGCUACGGUGAAUACGUUCCCGGGUCUUGUACACACCG
RNAcentral lists this ribosomal RNA (434 nucleotides) under uncultured bacterium. Its description in RNAcentral is "bacterial SSU rRNA". It matches the Rfam family "Bacterial small subunit ribosomal RNA", at positions 958 to 1392 of the family's 1533-position model. RNAcentral also lists the same sequence under 1 other name. The record is from RNAcentral.